RNAcentral lists this long non-coding RNA (7546 nucleotides) under Volvox carteri. Its description in RNAcentral is "long non-coding RNA (VCAR_LNC002730)". Lineage: Eukaryota; Viridiplantae; Chlorophyta; Chlorophyceae; Chlamydomonadales; Volvocaceae. The record is from RNAcentral.
GUUGUUGGGUGCGUGAGGAUGUGGUUGGACUAUUGAAUGCGUGCGGAGAGGCCCUAUGUAUAAUUCAUGAUGGGAAAUAUUUUUUUGGGUCAUGGCAGCCGUACCCUGCCGUACCCUGCCGUACUCACCGCGUCGACAGCAUCACCAACCUUGGCAACCAGCUUCUGUACGUCAUGUCACGAGCAAGAUGCGAUUUGGUGGUACAAAAAUAUUUUUGUUAGGCAGUUGGUGGACGGUUUACACAUGUAAACUCGGUGUUUGUGACUAGGUGGUGACGGACGGACGAGAAUGGUAUGUUGGUAGUUGUUGGUUGUACAAGUUGGCAAAGGAUUUGCACACUCUUGGUUCGCCUGCUCGGUUACGCACCAGCAACUCGAGAGACCUUUUCAGCGGUCAGCUGCUACACCCUCCCUCUCUAGAUUUUCGAGGGUUCGGAAGACGACCACAAGACGAGUGAUGCCGAUACAGAGGGUUGGAAAGAGAGGCAGAACGAAAGAUAGAAAGAUGCUCCAGGAAUAUAUAAUCGCGACAGUCGCCGCAGGAAAUUUGCGGGUUGGGCCACUUGCCGGAAUAGGGGAGGAUGGAGUUGGGGAAGACAACGGCCCGCAGUUGAUUGAUAGGUAGUUAGAAAAACCGUUUACUAACUGAAUUCUCAACUGAAAUCCCAGGGAAUGGCUUUUUCGGCAGUAAUCGGCACUAAAGAGGUUGACUGUUGACUGACUCCAGAGAACCAUCUUCCUCACACCUUUAAGUGCACCACGACUGCACCGCUUCAUCACUCCACAACUAUGCACGCACACUUGGAGGCUUUACUGGAGGCUUCACUUCAUACUUCGACAAAUAACCUUGGAAACUCUGAACAACGUUGUGGCAGGGGACAAGUACGGCUCUUAGCCGCACCUCACAACCUCAACUCACAAUCAACAGUGGCCACCUCCACACUCCACAAACCUCACCCGUACAAACGUCACCCGUACAUACCUCACCCGUACAUACCUCACCCGUACAUACCUCACCUAUCAGUGGGGGAAGCAACGCCGCCCGAAGCCAUCACCUUCAAGCAAUGAGCCCCCCGACGAAGCUCGUCUCGAGCCGCACGACGAACCUAAUACAGCCGGCCCCCCAACGAACCCAACCCAAUUUCCCCCCCACCCCACCCCGGCCCCCCGGACAGAAGAAGUGGAAGUUAGGACUGUAGGAAUGUAGGCCGAUCAAACAGGGGUAGAAGAGAGGUAGAUGUAGUAAAGGUAGCAACAGAUUGAUAUACAGAUUAUUUUCUUUUACAUAUAAAAAAACUCUCAACGUCUCUAAUCUAACCUAACCUAAUCCAAAACCAAAUCGGCGCAGCCUAGAUGGUGCAGACGGCCCAAACGCCGAAAAAACAGGAAAAAAACAGAAAAACAGGAAGCAGAAAAGCAGGAAAACAGAAAAACGCUACCUCUGCGUCUCCAUCGCACACGCGGCCGAUGCCUCGCAGCGCGGCUCCGCACGCACACAUCUCCUCUCNNNNNNNNNNNNNNNNNNNNNNNNNNNNNNNNNNNNNNNNNNNNNNNNNNGGCAUGUGGGUUUGUGUCCCGGCUGCCUGCUAAAGAAGUUGGAGCAUCGCACACUUAUAAAAAAAAGCAAUAAACAUAAACAUAACGAGAAAAAACAAACGUAGAGUACAGUUUUUGAAGGGGCAGUAGAACUAGCUGCGGUUCAAGAAUAGAGUGUGUAUGUGCGUGUGUAUGUAUGUGUGUGUGUCUGUGUGUCUGUCUGUGUGUGUCACAACCACUAGAGGAUGAAGGAUGUAAGUUUGGAAAGGUGGGAAAUGAAAUACAAGCUUGGGGCCAAAAAAGUUACGGCGCUGGGUUUAGGAAGGACGGCUGGCGAAUGAAGGGUUGCGGUGACGGUGUUGCAUGGGUACCUCCAGUGACACCCUAGAGUGGCCCGAGUGCAAGUGUGUACCGAGGAGAGUUGCAAAGGAGAGGGCUGUUGCUGCUACUAGGUUCGGUUGGUUGAUUCCAUUGCAGCGAACAAGUUUCAAAUAUAUUUCAAAAUAUACUAUAAUGCGCGUGACACGUCCGUAGUCGAUGUGAAUGUGCCAGCGCAGACAUGUCGUACCGUGUCGUACGAAGUCGUACCCGUAAACAAGAUGCGAGGUCCGAGCACCAGGCCCUCCUCCACAGCUUGAGCCAGUCCGAAAUCCGCACCGCCUGCCGAACGAGAAGAAACGCGGGCUACGUAGGAAUACGCGUUUGAAUGGACAUGUAGGAAUGGGAGAAUGGCAUAGCGUGUGUGUGUUCCUUACACCUUCUAGAGUUGCGUUAUACUCUCCAAAGGUGUAACCUGGGGGGGGGUGGCCCGUACAUACAUACAUACAUACAUACAUACAUACCUGGGAGCCAUGAGGUGAGGUGAGGGGGGGGGUACCACCCAACCUAGGGCCCUGGGGGGGUCGAGAAGGCUGUGUGUCGCCAGAGGAAGAUAGAUACUGUGAACACGCAUAAACACAUACUGUACUGAUAUGUUUGGUUGUGUAAUAAAAUAUUGAAUCAAUUUGACAAGAAAUGGAAGUGCUAGGGUUGGUGUGUAGGACGAGAACGAGGAGCAGGAGGAGGAGUACGGGUGGGAGGAGUACAAGCCGGAGGAGGACAUACGUCCGGAAUAAAGGCAAGGCAAGCCUAAGCCAGGGAGAAGGAAGAGGACGGCUGAACGUGCCUCUACGGCCUAAUGCACUGUACGGCAUGUCGUACGCACCGUCAGUACAUCCCGCGCACCUGCGUCCCGUACAGUGGUAAACCCUCGCGCCAGCAUGCCGGCCAGGAUGUGCGCCGCCUUUGUCGACACGUACGACUCCGGCAGCGACAUAAGGCCCGCCAGGUUAGCAGUGACUGCCGUACAGUGUACGUGAGCGUCGCAAAGACCUUGUGAACGAGCGGCAGCAGCCGGGGGACCCGGGGAAAGUGAGUUGCGUGCGAUGGCACGAGGAAUGAAGGCAGAUGACAUAACAAAACACACGACACGCGAUACGACACGAUGGGGCACGGCGCUACAAUCCCCCCAGUACGGCACUAACGAAAACUUAAGGACGAGCCUCAGUCCAUCUUUUGUCCCCCAUUAUUCAACCCCAUCACGUGCGCCGGAAACAUCUUUCCGGAAUUUGGGCCAAUUUUUAGGCUUUACACCGUCGAAAGGAUUGAGUAACCCGAUGCUUAUCACCAUUUGACUCCUCCUGCCGUUCGGUUGAAACCCAACCGAACCCAACCGAAUUCAACAAACCCAACCAAAAACGCACCAGGCAUCAAUACAGCGCCCCCACAGUCCACCUCCACUGCUGUAGGAGGAUGAGUUCUAAAUCCCUCAAUCGGCGCAAUUCCCGCCUCAGCCUCCGCAUCUGCUGACUCCGCAUCUGCUGACUCCGCAUCUGCUGACUCCGCAUCUGCUGACUCCGCAUCUGCUGACUCCGCAUCUGCUGACUCCGCAUCUGCUGACUCCGCAUCUGCUGACUUCGCAUCUGCUGACUCCGCAUCUGCUGACUCCGCAUCUGCUGACUCCGCCGCCGCCACCAUCACCGUCGUGGUGGCCCCCGCAUGACCCAUGGGUCGGACCUCCCGAAUGAGCCCUCCCUGGAGCAAAACACUUUGCAAGCCCUCUAGGUAGUUCCCUGCCGCAACAUCCAGGACUCGGCAGUUGGUCAGAAGCAGAGAGAACUCCUGUGGCGGACUGGACGCCGCUGCCGCCGGCUGCAAGGACAUAGCGGGAUCUGGUCCGCCGGUCGCCGCCGCGUCUACCGCUGCAGGUGUUGGGGGCAUCUGUGAAUCACUGUGGAGACGCGGCUUUUUAGGUGCAGGUGGGCUGGACCCGGAGGCGGCAGAGGGGAAGGAGUGCGCACGCAGACGCUGGAGAGCCCGCCUAGCCGCACAGGCGCGCGCAAAGGAGCUGAAACAUAGUUCUUCUGGCAUGAUAUUGGUGAUGUCGUCGUUAUCGGCACCUUUGGGCUGGUCACCUUCCGUUGAGGAGAACGGCAAAGUAGGCCAUUCGUUCGGCAGCCGGAGCUGCAACAUGACUCCGAUAAUAGCUGUUGUCUCCUGAUUUAAUAACGGAAUGAACUUCUUAUGAAAGGGCUCUUUUCUAAAAAGCAACUUGAGGAAAUGCGUGAAAUCGGUACGAUUCUUGCGAUUUGAGACGGGACAUGAAAUUAGACACCAGCUCCAGUACAUGUCAAAGCCCCAAAGGAGGUGGCUAUGAAAGCCUUGGAAAUUGUGAUUUCGGAAGAGGCAACGGAAUACUGGACGAGGCUGUACAUUCUUCUAGCCAGCGUGCAGCAUCUCGUGGUCCUGCCAGCUUGUAAUGAUGCUUGGUCCCUAUAGGGUACUGCGUCGUAUGCUAACUAACUCAAGGAGUCAGAAGUCACAAUUUGGUUGGUAUUGAAGAAUACCGUUUUUAGGUAAGAUCAAUAUUUUAACUGAGUUGGACGCUAGCGCCAUAAGGCCCUAUCGUACAAGAAACGCCUUUGGCGUUAGUUAGAGAAGACUCCACUCGGACGUCCUUACAUUCUCCCCCUCUUGAAUGCGAACGCGUCCUCGGCGCGCCAGUGUAGAUUGGGAAGGGGCCUCUUAGGGCAAAGGGUACACCCUUGGCAUACAACUUGGCGUGAUAGGCUUCGACCGCUUUGGGGCAGCCUCGGCAGCAGUCUUGGGCCGUCUCCCAGAAGUCGUACUCGGGGCCGUGGUUUUGCCAGCGGACCAAGUACUCGACGAAGGUGGCGGCGGCCAGAGGGCCCCCCUAGAGCACGGUGUGCAUGGAUUUCUUCGGCGAACCACAUAGGGUCGCCUUCCACAGAGGGGACCACUGGUGGGGGUGGUGUGUUGCUGCUUUGUUUAAAUUUUGUUCCAGCAGUGACACGUGAGGAAAAGACAUUGUUUGCAUGCACAAUAAUGCACAAUGCCUCUGGGAGUUGCAGGCGGACUGCAGACUCGCCCACCAUGCCUAGGAUGGGGACGGGUCCCAUGAACCGAGGCAUGGACUUGCCACACGUCCUUUGGCAUUAGGUGCGUUCCCUGGCAUUAUGUUUUUAGGAUGUCCUGCUCAACUCUAAGAAUAUAAUGUUAGGGAAAGAAAUUAAUGCUAAAGGACGUGUGGAAAGUUUAUGAUUCGGUUCAUAACCACUGAACGACUUGCAGGAGUGCGUGAUCUGGAGAUACAUCCCGAACCUGUCUUCGCGUGCAGGUGGUAACGCGGUAUCCAGUAGCGCACUUCUGAGAUCAAUUUCAAGAAAGGUUGGCAUGCUUACCCGCUAGAUCGUGCGACUACGCAAUGGACGUAUGGUACAGUUCUCAGUGCAGCAUCGCAGAACGUCCGCCAAUCGUAGGCUGACAUCCCUACACCAAGUAGACUGGCCAUUACGCCGGGACUCCACACAGGCUGUUGUGAUUUGAACGGGAGAAUGCCGACCAUCGAACUAUUUCCCGCCUAUUUAGCUCACUCAGCCCCGCGCUCAGUUCGCAGCACAUGAAUGAACUCCAGUCCAUGCAUCACAUAUGUAUGAUCUCUUUGAGCGCCCGAAACCAAGUAUGCAUACGUAACUAUCGCAUCCUUACAAUCCAUCUACCGUCUGAGAAUACAUAGUAACCCUUCGUGAUCUAGAACCACAGGAACCCCAAUUGGAAACCGACACUGCUCCCCUAGCUGGAACCCAAAACAUUUAAUUCUAUUCGCAUGACCGUACUUCUUAGCUUUUCAAAUUGGAAGUCCUUUAUUUCCUUCAGUUCCAGCGGCCUAUCCACAACCUUGUAGGGUCUGGUCGAUUUUUGGAACGGCCAUUGCCUCGCUUCUUUUUAUAGAAUAGCCUUAACAAAUGCUAACCCCGAGAAGGCGUUAUCCUAUGGACCCCGAGCACCUUCGCCCCCAAUCGGGAGCAACCACUUGCGAAGAGAAUAAAAAUUUUCCCUAAGGAACACAAUUUUUACCGUAUCAAAAAAAACUCAACUUUGGAUAUAGGACCCUGGAAANNNNNNNNNNNNNNNNNNNNNNNNNNNNNNNNNNNNNNNNNNNNNNNNNNACGCACCUAAUGCCAAAGGACGUGUGGCAAGUUCAUACCUCGGUUCACAACCCCUGCACGACUUGGAAGUGUGCUGGUCGGUGAUACUAGUUGGCAUGCUAAGCCUGCCGUUGUUGAGCGGCAUGUAGGGCGGCUUUUGGGGCCUUUUCGAGACAGCGUGGAGGGUGUCAGCGAGUUUGUCGACUGGGCAAGGGUGUUGUUUCAUUUUGAGUGGAAGGCCGUAGUCGUCCGGCAUUCGUGGACGGCAGCCAUACACAAGGUAGAAGGGCAUGUAGCCCGUGGCUUCACAUUUGCUGUUGUGAUUUGAUGGCGAGAAUUCCGCCAUCCGCUGUGUGUGUGUGUGUAGGUGUUCGGCCCCAGUGUUCGGCCCCCAGCAAGUCGGUGAGUUCCGGCCCCCUACAUAAUUGCGUAGAAUCUCUUGCAGGACGUGAUUCACUGUUCGCUCAGUUAGUCCAUCCGUUUUUAUAAGAACCAGCUACCCUUUUAUAAAAAACACUUCCACUUACCCAGGUAGCAACCAUGGUAGCAACUAUAGUAGCCCAACAACUCUAACCUAUUGCUACCAACUUCGUCUAUGUUACCUCCAAAUCUUGCUCCUUCUCUUUUACUGUUAAUACUUUUUUCCUAAAGUGGUGAGGGUGGAACGACGUGGAGAGCUGCUGUUUUUUGAAGUGCAGUUGCUGGGCUGUGUUGCACAUUGCUUACACAGUGAACCGCGGGUCACGAUCUGACGGUAGGAAGUCAGUCGAUACAGAGCCAUGUUCGCAGGUGAGAUAUUUCAUCACGCAAGAUUUAUGCGAUCUGAAGGAUCAUAGUGAUUUGGUCGUGCGUCGGCACGACGAACAUGACGAAUUUUGUCAACAAAUGUCGACAAAGACGCAAACGGCCGUGUGGCCAUCCUUGGCGGGUGACAGCGGCGACUUGAUGAUGAAACCGCAGGACACCAGCAGACUGUCAGACUCCAACAAGCAGCACAGCCGCAGACUAAGGUUUGACAAACAAUCUCAACAUAAAUAAAUAGCCUAUCUUUUAUUUGGACUUAGCGCAAAAGCCCACACAUUAGCAACAAGACAAAUACACAGACAGCAAACNNNNNNNNNNNNNNNNNNNNNNNNNNNNNNNNNNNNNNNNNNNNNNNNNNACUCACCGCGUCGACAGCAUCACCAACCUUGGCAACCAGCUUCUGUAGGUCAUGUCACGAGCAAGAUGCGAUUUGGUGGUACAAAAAUAUUUUUGUUAGGCAGUUGGUGGACGGUUUACACAUGUAAACUCGGUGUUUGUGACUAGGUGGUGACGGACGGACGAGAAUGGUAUGUUGGUAGUUGUUGGUUGUACAAGUUGGCAAAGGAUUUGCACACUCUUGGUUCGCCUGCUCGGUUACGUAAAGCCCUUGGCCCUCUCUCCCGAAACAUGCCGUGCAAACCUCCAAACACGCGCCCCCGCGCUAAAAAACUCACACACGAACCCCCGCUCCCACUCCUCCAUACCUCUGGCAUCCCCGCC